Molecule: non-coding RNA, 31 nt
Filed under: Rattus norvegicus (Norway rat)
Lineage: Eukaryota; Metazoa; Chordata; Mammalia; Rodentia; Muridae
Source: RNAcentral
UGGCCUUGAACUCAUAGAGAUCCGCUUGCCU